CCUACGGGUGGCAGCAGUGGGGAAUAUUGCACAAUGGGGGAAACCCUGAUGCAGCGACGCCGCGUGAGUGAAGAAGUAUUUCGGUAUGUAAAGCUCUAUCAGCAGGGAAGAAGAAAGACGGUACCUGACUAAGAAGCAUCGGCUAACUACGUGCCAGCAGCCGCGGCAAUACGUAGGGGGCAAGCGUUAUCCGGAUUUACUGGGUGUAAAGGGAGCGUAGGCGGUUGUGCAAGUCUGAAGUGAAAGCCCAGGGCUCAACCCCGGGACUGCAUUGGAAACUGUGGAGCUUGAGUGCAGAAGAGGUAAGUGGAACUCCUGGUGUAGCGGUGGAAUGCGUAGAUAUUAGGAAGAACACCAGUGGCGAAGGCGGCUUACUGGACUGUAACUGACGUUGAGGCUCGAAAGCGUGGGGAGCGAACAGGAUUAGAUACCCGUGUAGUC
RNAcentral lists this ribosomal RNA (441 nucleotides) under uncultured bacterium. Its description in RNAcentral is "partial 16S ribosomal RNA". It matches the Rfam family "Bacterial small subunit ribosomal RNA", at positions 338 to 795 of the family's 1533-position model. The record is from RNAcentral.